This 464-nucleotide ribosomal RNA is filed under the name Acanthotomicus spinosus. Its description in RNAcentral is "partial 16S ribosomal RNA". It matches the Rfam family "Archaeal large subunit ribosomal RNA", at positions 1893 to 2599 of the family's 2987-position model. The record is from RNAcentral. Lineage: Eukaryota; Metazoa; Arthropoda; Insecta; Coleoptera; Curculionidae.
UGUUUUACAAAAACAUGUCUUUUUGAGUUUUAUUUAAAGUCGGGCCUGCUCUAUGAAUUAAUUUAAUUUAAAUGGCUGCGGUAUUUUGACCGUACAAAGGUAGCAUAAUCAUUAGUUUCUUAAUUAGAAGCUGGAAUGAAAGGUUUGAUGAAAAAAUUUCUGUCUCAAUUUCAAUAGAUUUGAAUUUUAUUUUUAAGUAAAAAAGCUUAAAUUUUUAUAAAAGACGAGAAGACCCUGUAGAGUUUUAUAUUUUUAAUUAUAGUUAUUUUUAGAAUUUUAUUUUUCUAUAAGAAAAAGUAUUUUGUUGGGGUGACAAAAAAAUUUAUUAAACUUUUUUUUAUACUUUAACACUUAUUUGUGAUUUUUUGAUCCUUAUUAUUAAGAUUAAAAGAAAAAUUACCUUAGGGAUAACAGCGUAAUUUUUUUUUAGAGUUCAAAUCGAAGAAAGAGUUUGCGACCUCGAG